GAUGAACGCUAGCGGCAGGCCUAAUACAUGCAAGUCGAACGGUGUCUUCGGACAUAGUGGCGCACGGGUGCGUAACACGUAUGCAACCUGCCUUACAUUGGGGGAUAGCCUUUCGAAAGGGAGAUUAAUACCGCAUAAGACAGUAGCUGGGCAUCCAGCAGCUGUUAAAGAUUUAUCGAUGUAAGAUGGGCAUGCGUCCAAUUAGUUAGUUGGCGAGGUAAUGGCUCACCAAGACUUUGAUUGGUAGGGGAACUGAGAGGUCAAUCCCCCACACUGGCACUGAGAUACGGGCCAGACUCCUACGGGAGGCAGCAGUAGGGAAUAUUGGGCAAUGGACGCAAGUCUGACCCAGCCAUGCCGCGUGCAGGAUGAAGGCGUUAUGCGUUGUAAACUGCUUUUAUACAGGAAGAAACGACUCUUGCGAGAGGCAUUGACGGUACUGUAUGAAUAAGCACCGGCUAACUCCGUG
Molecule: ribosomal RNA, 469 nt
Filed under: uncultured bacterium
Lineage: Bacteria
Description: bacterial SSU rRNA
Rfam family: Bacterial small subunit ribosomal RNA
Source: RNAcentral